Molecule: ribosomal RNA, 500 nt
Filed under: uncultured Glomeromycotina
Lineage: Eukaryota; Fungi; Glomeromycota
Description: partial small subunit ribosomal RNA
Rfam family: Eukaryotic small subunit ribosomal RNA
Source: RNAcentral
CCAAUAGCGUAUAUUAAAGUUGUUGCAGUUAAAAAGCUCGUAGUUGAAUUUCGGGAUCAGUACGCUGGUCGUGCCUUCGGUAUGUACUGGUGUUACUGGUUCCUACCUUCUGACGAACCGUCAUGUCAUUAAUUUGGUGUGGCGGGAAAUCAGGACUGUUACUUUGAAAAAAUUAGAGUGUUUAAAGCAGGCUCGCGCUUGAAUACAUUAGCAUGGAAUAAUGAAAUAGGACGUUCGAUCCUAUUUUGUUGGUUUCUAGGAUUGACGUAAUGAUUAAUAGGGAUAGUUGGGGGCAUUAGUAUUCAAUUGUCAGAGGUGAAAUUCUUGGAUUUAUUGAAGACUAACUACUGCGAAAGCAUUUGCCAAGGAUGUUUUCAUUAAUCAAGAGCGAAAGUUAGGGGAUCGAAGACGAUCAGAUACCGUCGUAGUCUUAACCAUAAACUAUGCCGACUAGGGAUCGGAUGAUGUUAAUUUUUUGAUGACUCAUUCGGCGCCUUACG